RNAcentral lists this ribosomal RNA (435 nucleotides) under uncultured bacterium. RNAcentral's name for it is "partial 16S ribosomal RNA". It matches the Rfam family "Bacterial small subunit ribosomal RNA", at positions 29 to 507 of the family's 1533-position model. The record is from RNAcentral.
AGCGAACGCUGGCGGCAGGCUUAACACAUGCAAGUCGAGCGGGCACUUUCGGGUGUCAGCGGCGGACGGGUGAGUAACGCGUGGGAACGUGCCCCCUGGUUCGGAAUAACUCAGGGAAACUUGAGCUAAUACCGGAUACGCCCUCUUGGGGAAAGGCUUGCUGCCCGAGGAUCGGCCCGCGUCUGAUUAGCUAGUUGGUGAGGUAACGGCUCACCAAGGCGACGAUCAGUAGCUGGUCUGAGAGGAUGAUCAGCCACACUGGGACUGAGACACGGCCCAGACUCCUACGGGAGGCAGCAGUGGGGAAUAUUGGACAGUGGGCGCAAGCCUGAUCCAGCCAUGCCGCGUGAGUGAUGAAGGCCUUAGGGUUGUAAAGCUCUUUUAUCCGGGACGAUAAUGACGGUACCGGAGGAAUAAGCCCCGGCUAACUUCGUG